This 245-nucleotide ribosomal RNA is filed under the name uncultured bacterium. RNAcentral's name for it is "partial 16S ribosomal RNA". It matches the Rfam family "Bacterial small subunit ribosomal RNA", at positions 524 to 768 of the family's 1533-position model. The record is from RNAcentral.
UACGGGGGGUGCAGGCGUUAUCCGGAUUUACUAGGUUUAAAGGGUCCGUAGGCGGUAAAUUAAGUCAGUGGUGAAAGCCCUGAGCUCAACUGAGGGAUUGCCAUUGAUACUGAUAUACUUGAGUGUGGUUGAUGUUGGCGGAAUGUAUCAAGUAGCGGUGAAAUGCUUAGAUAUGAUACAGAACACCGAUUGUGAAGACAGCUGACAAAGCCACAACUGACGCUGAGGGACGAAGGCGUGGGGAU